Molecule: ribosomal RNA, 253 nt
Filed under: uncultured bacterium
Lineage: Bacteria
Description: partial 16S ribosomal RNA
Rfam family: Bacterial small subunit ribosomal RNA
Source: RNAcentral
GACGUAGGGCGCGAGCGUUGUCCGGAUUCAUUGGGCGUAAAGAGCGUGUAGGCGGCCAGGUAGGUCGGUUGUGAAAACUGGAGGCUCAACCUUCAGAGGUCGACCGAAACCAUCUGGCUAGAGUCCGGGAGAGGAGAGUGGAAUUCCUGGUGUAGCGGUGAAAUGCGCAGAUAUCGGGAAGAACACCCGUGGCGAAGGCGGCUCUCUGGGACGGUACUGACGCUGAGACGCGAAAGCGUGGGGAGCGAACAGG